RNAcentral lists this ribosomal RNA (1354 nucleotides) under Salmonella enterica. Its description in RNAcentral is "partial 23S ribosomal RNA". It matches the Rfam family "Bacterial large subunit ribosomal RNA", at positions 1470 to 2802 of the family's 2925-position model. The record is from RNAcentral. Lineage: Bacteria; Pseudomonadati; Pseudomonadota; Gammaproteobacteria; Enterobacterales; Enterobacteriaceae. RNAcentral also lists the same sequence under 1 other name.
GGACGGAGAAGGCUAUGUUGGCCGGGCGACGGUUGUCCCGGUUUAAGCGUGUAGGUGUGUGUUCCAGGUAAAUCCGGUUCACUUUAACACUGAGGCGUGACGACGAGGCACUACGGUGCUGAAGCAACAAAUGCCCUGCUUCCAGGAAAAGCCUCUAAGCAUCAGGUAACAUCAAAUCGUACCCCAAACCGACACAGGUGGUCAGGUAGAGAAUACCAAGGCGCUUGAGAGAACUCGGGUGAAGGAACUAGGCAAAAUGGUGCCGUAACUUCGGGAGAAGGCACGCUGACACGUAGGUGAAGUGAUUUACUCAUGGAGCUGAAGUCAGUCGAAGAUACCAGCUGGCUGCAACUGUUUAUUAAAAACACAGCACUGUGCAAACACGAAAGUGGACGUAUACGGUGUGACGCCUGCCCGGUGCCGGAAGGUUAAUUGAUGGGGUCAGCGCAAGCGAAGCUCCUGAUCGAAGCCCCGGUAAACGGCGGCCGUAACUAUAACGGUCCUAAGGUAGCGAAAUUCCUUGUCGGGUAAGUUCCGACCUGCACGAAUGGCGUAAUGAUGGCCAGGCUGUCUCCACCCGAGACUCAGUGAAAUUGAACUCGCUGUGAAGAUGCAGUGUACCCGCGGCAAGACGGAAAGACCCCGUGAACCUUUACUAUAGCUUGACACUGAACAUUGAGCCUUGAUGUGUAGGAUAGGUGGGAGGCUUUGAAGUGUGGACGCCAGUCUGCAUGGAGCCGACCUUGAAAUACCACCCUUUAAUGUUUGAUGUUCUAACGUGGACCCGUUACCCGGGUUGCGGACAGUGUCUGGUGGGUAGUUUGACUGGGGCGGUCUCCUCCUAAAGAGUAACGGAGGAGCACGAAGGUUGGCUAAUCCUGGUCGGACAUCAGGAGGUUAGUGCAAUGGCAUAAGCCAGCUUGACUGCGAGCGUGACGGCGCGAGCAGGUGCGAAAGCAGGUCAUAGUGAUCCGGUGGUUCUGAAUGGAAGGGCCAUCGCUCAACGGAUAAAAGGUACUCCGGGGAUAACAGGCUGAUACCGCCCAAGAGUUCAUAUCGACGGCGGUGUUUGGCACCUCGAUGUCGGCUCAUCACAUCCUGGGGCUGAAGUAGGUCCCAAGGGUAUGGCUGUUCGCCAUUUAAAGUGGUACGCGAGCUGGGUUUAGAACGUCGUGAGACAGUUCGGUCCCUAUCUGCCGUGGGCGCUGGAGAACUGAGGGGGGCUGCUCCUAGUACGAGAGGACCGGAGUGGACGCAUCACUGGUGUUCGGGUUGUCAUGCCAAUGGCACUGCCCGGUAGCUAAAUGCGGAAGAGAUAAGUGCUGAAAGCAUCUAAGCACGAAACUUGCCCCGA